GGAAAAACAAGUUUGCUUUACCGUUGCCGUGUCAAUUGCCAAAUUCACUAAAUGCCGUCCCACCGAUAAAGCAGUCAUAUAAACACAACAUGAUCACUUUUGUUUACGGAAACCGAAUCACAUCGGCAUAACGUGGUCAUUUUAGCUUCACUGUCGUACUUUGAGUCGUUUGAGACAAUUUAAAUGCACUGCACCUUAUCUUGGAAACUGGACAGUGGCACAGUUCAGGAACUGAAUACAUGCAUUACGUAGAAUUCGCGUUCAUACCAUGUCACGCUAUGAAUAUAGCUGAAUAGCCUGGAAACGUCCAUCAGAAAAUUAAACUCUGUUACACAGUUGCCGAGAAGUAUUAAUAAUAAAUCGCCGC
This is a non-coding RNA of Paramuricea clavata, 367 nucleotides long. Lineage: Eukaryota; Metazoa; Cnidaria; Anthozoa; Malacalcyonacea; Plexauridae. The record is from the annotation of a GenBank genome assembly.